Molecule: long non-coding RNA, 522 nt
Organism: Myodes glareolus (Bank vole)
Lineage: Eukaryota; Metazoa; Chordata; Mammalia; Rodentia; Cricetidae
Source: RefSeq, a predicted model, not a curated record
UCCCUCCCUCUCCAGAGGGCAGUGGCUGGUUAAUAAGUCACUGCAGGAAAGACUGAAGCCUCCUGGGAGAAGAAGCACAGGACAAAGUAACACCCAGAGAGGAGCAAGUCCAAGAGGUCAGACUCAGUUCUCCCCAUGGCCCUCUCUACAAAACUCCAGGAACCUGUUCGCCCUGUUUCAGUACCCGCCACAGAGUAGUAAAAUGCUGUGUUUCCCUACAGGCAAUAUAGCUGGUACAAUAUAGUAUAUUUGCUUAUAAACACAGAAUUAUGAAAAAAGGGCAAAAGAAGACAAUCAGCAGGAAUUUAACUGUAACUCCCAGCCACAGCCUCCAGCCCACAGUGGCAGAAAGCAUGCUGUCUUUGAUGCUGCAAGUCCCUGAGGGAACAAGGUGCAUGGAAAUCACAGCGCAACUUUCACUACUGCUUCAGCACCAUGCGCUCCAGCACCAGGCGUACCACCAUGCUCCUACCAUGAUAAUACAAUAACCUCAGAAACUGUAAGCAAACCCCAAAAUAAAUG